Molecule: ribosomal RNA, 490 nt
Filed under: uncultured bacterium
Lineage: Bacteria
Description: partial 16S ribosomal RNA
Rfam family: Bacterial small subunit ribosomal RNA
Source: RNAcentral
AUUGAACGCUGGCGGCAGGCCUAACACAUGCAAGUCGAACGGUAACAGGAAGCAGCUUGCUGCUUUGCUGACGAGUGGCGGACGGGUGUGUAAUGUCUGGGAAACUGCCUGAUGGAGGGGGAUAACUACUGGAAACGGUAGCUAAUACCGCAUAACGUCGCAAGACCAAAGAGGGGGACCUUAGGGCCUCUUGCCAUCGGAUGUGCCCAGAUGGGAUUAGCUAGUAGGUGGGGUAACGGCUCACCUAGGCGACGAUCCCUAGCUGGUCUGAGAGGAUGACCAGCCACACUGGAACUGAGACACGGUCCAGACUCCUACGGGAGGCAGCAGUGGGGAAUAUUGCACAAUGGGCGCAAGCCUGAUGCAGCCAUGCCGCGUGUAUGAAGAAGGCCUUCGGGUUGUAAAGUACUUUCAGCGGGGAGGAAGGGAGUAAAGUUAAUACCUUUGCUCAUUGACGUUACCCGCAGAAGAAGCACCGGCUAACUCCGUG